UACGUAGGUGGCAAGCGUUGUCCGGAUUUAUUGGGUUUAAAGGGUGCGUAGGCGGCUUUGUAAGUCAGUGGUGAAAUACGGCAGCUCAACUGUCGAGGUGCCAUUGAUACUGCAGAGCUAGAGUACUGAUGAGGUAGGCGGAAUGGACGGUGUAGCGGUGAAAUGCUUAGAUAUCGUCAAGAACACCUAUAGCGAAGGCAGCUUACUAGGCUGUAACUGACGCUGAGGCACGAAAGUGUGGGGAUCAAACGGG
This 253-nucleotide ribosomal RNA is filed under the name uncultured bacterium. Its description in RNAcentral is "partial 16S ribosomal RNA". It matches the Rfam family "Bacterial small subunit ribosomal RNA", at positions 524 to 776 of the family's 1533-position model. The record is from RNAcentral.